Ochotona curzoniae (black-lipped pika) is the source of this 107-nucleotide small nuclear RNA. NCBI's taxonomy places the organism in Eukaryota, Metazoa, Chordata, Mammalia, Lagomorpha, Ochotonidae. The record is from RefSeq and is a predicted model, not a curated record.
GUUCUCACUUUGGCGGCACAUACACCAAAAUAGGAACCAUACAAAGAAAAUUAGCAAGGUGCCUGCCCGAGGAUGACACACAAAUUUGUGAAGUGUUCCCUAUUUUU